Molecule: long non-coding RNA, 240 nt
Filed under: Capsicum annuum
Lineage: Eukaryota; Viridiplantae; Streptophyta; Magnoliopsida; Solanales; Solanaceae
Description: long non-coding RNA (CANN_LNC018955)
Source: RNAcentral
UAUCCAAUUUUUCAAAAUUUCUUAGUCCCACAUAAUUUCUAAACCCUAAAUUCCAUCCUAAUAUCCCCCUAUGUAAUCUCUCUCAAUCAUCACAAUGAGUUCAAGAAUUGUUAACAAGCAAGAACCCAAAAAAAAAAGGUUUUUGCUAUAAUAUUUCAAAUGGGGUUUUUGAUGUUUUGACUUUUGACGGAAUAUUUUAUACCUUUUACAAGAAAUAAUUAGGCAUUUUCAAGCAACUAU